AUUGAACGCUGGCGGCAGGCUUAACACAUGCAAGUCGAACGGUAGCAGGAUAAAGCUUGCUUUUUUGCUGACGAGUGGCGGACGGGUGAGUAAUGCGUGGGAUUCUGUCUUAUGGAGGGGGAUAUCUACGGGAAACUGUAGCUACUACCGCGUAAUAUCUUCGGAUUAAAGAAUGGGACUUUUAGCCAUUCGCCAUAAGAUGAGCCCACGUGGGAUUAGGUAGUUGGUGGGGUAAGGGCCUACCAAGCGGACGAGCUCUAGCUGGACUGAGGGGAUGACCGGCCACACGGGAGCUGAGACACGGUCCAGACUCCUACGAGAGGCAGCAGUGGGGAAUAUUGGGCAGUGGGGGCAACCCUGACGCAGCCAGGCCGAGUGUGUGAAGAAGGCCUUCGGGUUGUAAAGUUCUUUCGGUGGUGAGGAAGGCUAAUAUGUUAAUAGCAUAUUAGAUUGACGUUAGCCACAGAAGAAGCACCGGCUAACUCCGUG
RNAcentral lists this ribosomal RNA (489 nucleotides) under uncultured bacterium. RNAcentral's name for it is "partial 16S ribosomal RNA". It matches the Rfam family "Bacterial small subunit ribosomal RNA", at positions 30 to 507 of the family's 1533-position model. The record is from RNAcentral.